AAGGAAUAUUGGACAAUGGGCGCAAGCCUGAUCCAGCCAUGCCGCGCGCAGGAAGACGGCCCUAUGGGUUGUAAACUGCUUUUGUACGGGAAGAAACACCACUACGCGUAGUGGCUUGACGGUACCGUAAGAAUAAGGAUCGGCUAACUCCGUGCCAGCAGCCGCGGUAAUACGGAGGAUCCAAGCGUUAUCCGGAAUUAUUGGGUUUAAAGGGUCCGUAGGUGGACGAUUAAGUCAGGGGUGAAAUCUUGCAGCUCAACUGUAAAAUUGCCCUUGAUACUGGUUGUCUUGAAUCAUUGUGAAGUGGUUAGAAUAUGUAGUGUAGCGGUGAAAUGCAUAGAUAUUACAUAGAAUACCGAUUGCGAAGGCAGAUCACUAACGGUGCAUUGACACUGAUGGACGAAAGCGUGGGGAGCGAAC
This 420-nucleotide ribosomal RNA is filed under the name uncultured bacterium. Its description in RNAcentral is "bacterial SSU rRNA". It matches the Rfam family "Bacterial small subunit ribosomal RNA", at positions 356 to 773 of the family's 1533-position model. The record is from RNAcentral.